This 390-nucleotide ribosomal RNA is filed under the name uncultured Glomeromycotina. RNAcentral describes it as "SSU rRNA". It matches the Rfam family "Eukaryotic small subunit ribosomal RNA", at positions 568 to 962 of the family's 1831-position model. Lineage: Eukaryota; Fungi; Glomeromycota. The record is from RNAcentral.
CAGCAGCCGCGGUAAUUCCAGCUCCAAUAGCGUAUAUUAAAGUUGUUGCAGUUAAAAAGCUCGUAGUUGAAUUUCGAGAUCAAAAUUGUUGGUCGUGCCUCGGUACGUACUGGCAUUAUUGAUUUCUCCUUUCUGAAGAACCUUGAUGUCAUUAAUUUGGUGUCUUGGGGAAUCAGGACCGUUACUUUGAAAAAAUUGAGUGUUUAAAGCAGGCUCACGCUUGAAUACAUUAGCAUGGAAUAAUGAAAUAGGACGUUUGAUUCUAUUUUGUUGGUUUCUAGGAUCGACGUAAUGAUUAAUAGGGAUAGUUGGGGGCAUUAGUAUUCAAUUGUCAGAGGUGAAAUUCUUGGAUUUAUUGAAGACUAACUACUGCGAAAGCAAUUUGCCAAG